AACGAACGCUGGCGGCAUGCCUAACACAUGCAAGUCGAACGAGACCUUCGGGUCUAGUGGCGCACGGGUGCGUAACGCGUGGGAACCUGCCCUUAGGUUCGGAAUAACUCCCCGAAAGGGGUGCUAAUACCGGAUAAUGUCUUCGGACCAAAGAUUUAUCGCCUUUGGAUGGGCCCGCGUUGGAUUAGCUAGUUGGUAGGGUAAAAGCCUACCAAGGCGACGAUCCAUAGCUGGUCUGAGAAGAUGAUCAGCCACACUGGGACUGAGACACGGCCCAGACUCCUACGGGAGGCAGCAGUGGGGAAUAUUGGACAAUGGGCGAAAGCCUGAUCCAGCAAUGCCGCGGGAGUGAUGAAGGCCUUAGGGUUGUAAAGCUCUUUUACCCGGGAUGAUAAGGACAGUACCGGGAGAAUAAGCUCCGGCUAACUCCGU
This 432-nucleotide ribosomal RNA is filed under the name uncultured bacterium. RNAcentral describes it as "partial 16S ribosomal RNA". It matches the Rfam family "Bacterial small subunit ribosomal RNA", at positions 29 to 506 of the family's 1533-position model. The record is from RNAcentral.